UCAAGUUACAAAGGGCGUAUGGUGGAUGCCCAGGCACUUAGAGCCGAAGAAGGACGCAGCGAGCGGCGAAACGCUCCGGGGAGUCGCAAGCAGACGUAGAUCCGGAGAUUUCCGAAUGGGGAAACCCGCUUAAGGUAAUACUUAAGCAUCCCAUGGUGAACACAUAGCCAUGGGAGGGGAAACCGCGUGAACUGAAACAUCUAAGUAGCGCGAGGAGAAGAAAGAAAACAGGGCCUCCCAGCGGAGAGACUCCGCUGGGAAGGUAGUGUCGAUUUCCUAAGUAGCGGCGAGCGAAAAGGAAAGAGCCCAAACCAUCACCGCAGGUGAUGGGGUUUAGGACCACGAGAAGGUAUAAAGAGCGAAGCCGAACAGACCUGGGAAGGCAGGCCAAAGAAGGUGAAAGCCCUGUAGGCGUAAGCGAAAAUAUACCGAGUGGGAUCCAGAGUACCACAGGAUAGGCAACCCGGUGGGAAGACGGGAGGACCAUCUCCCAAGGCUAAAUACUCCUAAGUGACCGAUAGCGCAAAGUACCGUGAGGGAAAGGUGAAAAGAACCCCGGGAGGGGAGUGAAAGAGAACCUGAAACCAUAUGUCCACAAGCAGUGGAAGUCCGGCACUCAACUGAACAUGUUAGAGAGAAGAAAAAAAGAACUAGCGUGUCCAGUUGAGAGCCGGACGACCACGUACUUUUUGUAGAACGGACCGGCGAGUUAUAGAUAUGCAGCGAGGUUAAGCGAAAGCGGAGCCGAAGCGAAAGCGAGUCUUAAGAGGGCGAAAGUUGCAUAUCAUAGACCCGAAACCGUGCGACCUACCCAUGAUCAGGGUGAAGCCGGAGUAAGAUCUGGUGGAGGCCCGAACCACGUUGACGUUGAAAAGUCAUGGGAUGAAUUGUGGGUAGCGGAGAAAUUCCAAUCGAGCUCGGAGAUAGCUGGUUCUCCCCGAAAUAGCUUUAGGGCUAGCCUCAGGGGUGAAAAUAUGGAGGUAGAGCACUGAAUGGACUAGGGGCCAAAAAGGUUACCGAACCCUAUCAAACUCCGAAUGCCAUAUUGAGAACCCUGGGAGUCAGACUACGAGUGAUAAGAUCCGUGGUCAAAAGGGAAACAGCCCAGACCGACAGCUAAGGUCCCAAAGAGCAUGUUAAGUGGAAAAGGAAGUAGGAUUUCCAAGACAACCAGGAUGUUGGCUUAGAAGCAGCCAUACAUUCAAAGAGUGCGUAAUAGCUCACUGGUCGAGAAAUCCCGCGCCGAAAAUAAACGGGGCUAAAACAUGCCACCGAAGCUACGGAUUCUGUAUGAAUGGUAGGGGAGCGUACUGUACAGGGCGAAGGAUAAGCGGAAGCGAAUCUGGACAGUACAGUAGAGAGAAUGCCGGUAUAAGUAACGAGAGUAAGGCGAGAAACCUUACCGUCGAAAGCCUAAGGUUUCCUGGGGAAGGAUAAUCCGCCCAGGGUAAGUCGGGACCUAAGCCGAGGCGAAAGCGUAGGCGAUGGACAACCGGUAAUAAAUCCGGUACCACCGAAAUCCGUCAUAAGAGAAGCAAGGACGCAGCGAGAUAAGAAAAGCGUGCGGUUGGUAGAGCACGUCCAAGCAGCGACGAAGAGAGCUUUGAGUGAAGUACCAAAGCUCAUAAGAGCUGUGAAGGGGAGCCGAAAGGCGAAGUUUCGAAGGGGCUGCCAAGAAAAGUUGCUAUCGAGGAUAGAGGUGCCCGUACCAGAAACCGACACAGGUAGGCGAGGAGAGAAUCCAAAGACGAGCGGGAGAACCCUCAUUAAGGAACUCGGCAAAAAGACUCCGUAACUUCGGGAGAAGGAGUGCCGAAAGGCCGCAGAGAAGAGGCCCAAGCGACUGUUUACCAAAAACACAGGUUUCUGCUAAGUCGAAAGACGAAGUAUAGGAGCUGACGCCUGCCCGGUGCUGGAAGGUUAAGGGGAAGGGUCAGGAGGAAAUCCAAAGCUCUGAACUUAAGCCCCAGUAAACGGCGGCCGUAACUAUAACGGUCCUAAGGUAGCGAAAUUCCUUGUCGGGUAAGUUCCGACCUGCACGAAAGGCGUAACGACUUGGGCGCUGUCUUGAUGGGGGACCCGGUGAAAUUGUAGUACUCGUGAAGAUGCGAGUUACCCGCGACAGGACAGAAAGACCCCAUGGAGCUUUACUGCAGCUUGUCACUGAAUUUUAGUAAUAUCUGUACAGGAUAGGUGGGAGGCGGAGAAAGAUGGGCGCAAGCCUAUCUGGAGCCGACGUUGGGAUACCACCCUGAUAUUACCGAAAUUCUAACAUAGGAGCCGUAAGCCGGCAUAUGGACACUGACAGGCGGGCAGUUUGACUGGGGCGGUCGCCUCCCAAAGAGUAACGGAGGCGUCCAAAGGUUACCUCAGCGCGGAAGGAAAUCGCGCGUAAGAGUGCAAAGGCAGAAGGUAGCCUAACUGCGAGAAAGACAAUUCGAGCAGGGACGAAAGUCGGGCUUAGUGAUCCGGCGGUAGAGAAUGGGAUUGCCGUCGCUCAACGGAUAAAAGCUACCCUGGGGAUAACAGGCUGAUCUCCCCCAAGAGUCCACAUCGACGGGGAGGUUUGGCACCUCGAUGUCGGCUCAUCGCAUCCUGGGGCUGAAGUAGGUCCCAAGGGUUGGGCUGUUCGCCCAUUAAAGCGGUACGCGAGCUGGGUUCAGAACGUCGUGAGACAGUUCGGUCCCUAUCCGUCGCGGGCGUAGGAAAUUUGAGAGGAACUGCCCUUAGUACGAGAGGACCGGGGUGGACAAACCGAUGGUGUACCAGUUGCGAAGCCAUUCGCACAGCUGGGUAGCCAAGUUUGGAAGGGAUAAACGCUGAAAGCAUCUAAGCGUGAAACCCACCUCAAGAAAAGAUUUCCCAUCCGAAAGGAGUAAGACACCUUGGAGAAGACGAGGUAGAUAGGCCGGAGGUGUAAGAGUAGAAAUACUUUGAGCUGACCGGUACUAAUAAGUCGAGGACUUGACCAA
This 2972-nucleotide ribosomal RNA is filed under the name Thermoanaerobacterium thermosaccharolyticum DSM 571. RNAcentral's name for it is "bacterial LSU rRNA". It matches the Rfam family "Bacterial large subunit ribosomal RNA". The record is from RNAcentral. Lineage: Bacteria; Bacillati; Bacillota; Clostridia; Thermoanaerobacterales; Thermoanaerobacteraceae.